GGGGAAUAUUGCACAAUGGGGGAAACCCUGAUGCAGCGACGCCGCGUGGAGGAAGAAGGUCUUCGGAUUGUAAACUCCUGUCCCAGGGGACGAUAAUGACGGUACCCUGGGAGGAAGCACCGGCUAACUACGUGCCAGCAGCCGCGGUAAAACGUAGGGUGCAAGCGUUGUCCGGAAUUACUGGGUGUAAAGGGAGCGCAGGCGGAUUGGCAAGUUGGGAGUGAAAUCUAUGGGCUCAACCCAUAAAUUGCUUUCAAAACUGUCAGUCUUGAGUGGUGUAGAGGUAGGCGGAAUUCCCGGUGUAGCGGUGGAAUGCGUAGAUAUCGGGAGGAACACCAGUGGCGAAGGCGGCCUACUGGGCACUAACUGACGCUGAGGCUCGAAAGCAUGGGUAGCAAAC
This 400-nucleotide ribosomal RNA is filed under the name uncultured bacterium. RNAcentral describes it as "bacterial SSU rRNA". It matches the Rfam family "Bacterial small subunit ribosomal RNA", at positions 356 to 773 of the family's 1533-position model. The record is from RNAcentral.